Molecule: ribosomal RNA, 486 nt
Filed under: uncultured bacterium
Lineage: Bacteria
Description: bacterial SSU rRNA
Rfam family: Bacterial small subunit ribosomal RNA
Source: RNAcentral
GACGACGCUGGCGGCGUGGAUUAGGCAUGCAAGUCGAACGGUAUCAUCCUUUCGGGGGUGAGAGAGUGGCGAACUGGUGAGUAACACGUAGGUUAUCUACCCUCAAGACGGGGACAACCCAGGGAAACUUGGGCUAAUACCGGAUGUGAGCAACUUUUAGUUGUUUGAAAGGUGGCGUAAGCUGUCGCUUGGGGAUGAGCCUGCGUCCUAUUAGUUAGUUGGUGAGGUAACGGCUCACCUAGGCAAUGAUAGGUAGGCGGCCUUAACGGGUGGUCGCCCACACUGGGAUUGAGAUACGGCCCAGACUCCUACGGGAGGCAGCAGUCGAGAAUAGUCUACAAUGGUCGGAAGACUGAUAGUGCGACGCCGCGUGAGCGAUGAAUCCCUUCGGGGUGUAAAGUUCUUUUAUAUGUGAGCAGUGCUUCUUAUAUUAACAGUAUGGGGAGAGAGAUAUUAGCAUAUGAAUAAGCAACGGCUAACUCCGUG